UAAGCGCACCCUAAUACUUGCAUUAGUCCGUUCUAUUCUGAUUUUUGAAAAAGCGCGUUUGUUUACAAACAAGAGAAAAGUCCGGUCACUUGAUAUGCAAAUUAGCCUAUGGCUGCGUGUUAUUCUUUGUCACCACUGCGCCGGCGUGUCAGUUCAGCCUGGUUCCCUGCGUAUGCUGCGCUGGCGCUACACUGAGAGAAGUGGUUACAAAAACGGAGUUAUUUCCUUUAGCUAACUAUUUCUUGAUUUGUUAUUGCAUCGCUAUAUCAGUCGAUCUGAAAGUACUUCUUCAUACUGCAGAACAGGCUCAACUCGUUACAUUGACAACAAACAGGGAAGUGAGAUCACGACGUUACCUGACACUAAUGCUGAAGGGGUUGUUGUCGACACAGGUAUGUACUCCGGAUGAAAUGGCAUGUUCAAGCUUAGCUCAAGAAGACCUGGAGUGUCCUAUAUGUACCGACCUCUUUCAUGAGCCUAAGUUGCUUCCCUGCGGACAUAGAGUUUGUUCAGCAUGCCUCAACAAUUACAUGAAGUCUUUAAAUACGCAAGGUUGUGCAUGUCCAUUGUGCAAAAACCCUUUCAGGGGAAAUAAAAAAUUCCCAACUGAUCACAUCCUUCAGAAUCUGAUAAAGGACAGAAAAAGCCUUUCGUAUGGCAUGUGUAGGGUUCAUGGUUUGCAUCAAAGGCGAUACUGCAUCACCUGCUCCAUGCCUGCGUGCGCUGAGUGUGUCCUCGAAUGUCACAAGCGUUGUACAAAUGUGCUUCUUAUGGAAGAUGCUACAAGGUCGAUAGAAGCACAACUGCGAAGGUUCUCAAAAGAACUGGAUAAAAACCUCAUGAACAUAAAAUCAUCUGAAGAUGCUGCUUCAUCCAAGAUGAAGGAAAUAGCCCAGCGGAACACUGAGGCAGUGGAACAACUCGAAAAGGCGAAGGUCGAUUUCGUAAACCACGUUACAAAUAUGCAAGUCACCAUAAAUGGGGCGAGUCAGUCCAGUGUCUCACAACUGCAGGGUUAUAUAGGAACAGUGAAGCUCCUUAUGUCAAAGACGGAGGAACUUGACCGUUGUUUGAAGGGAAGUCUUAACAGUGGAAGCAGUGAAAGAAUGUCUGAAUCAAUCACUAAAGUUAUAGAGAAGCAAGGGUUCCUGUGCACGAUACCACAACGCUUGAAGGAGAACAUAAGGCUGACCAGGCCGCUAACGAAGAUGCCAUCAGUAGACUUAGGACAUGUCAGUUUCAGGAAAGAGGACUUCCAAGGUGUCAAAGGAAAUCCUUGUCUCAGAUGCAUGUCAUUUCUCGUGAAACUAUUUAUCAUUUUAAUUUACCUAUUAGUGUUUACACUGACAUUGAUGAUCUCAUACGAAAGAUAUACUCACUGUCACAGGUUCUUUCCUGAUUCACGAUUCCACCUAGGAGGACGUUGCAGUUUCAUGUGGUCUGCAUAGAACAGAUUUCUGGAAGUCAGACAAAAGACGGAUGUGGGCAAAAUUAAUUGUGCUUUUGCUGAUGGUAUUCAUGAUCGGUGACCAUACAUGACAUCAAUGGCUUAUUUGUUUAUGCUGAUUUCGACUGCUUCUGUGGUCUAGUGGUAGAGCGUCCGCCCGGAGAGCAGGUCGGGAUUCGAUCCCCGGCCGCGUCAUACCAAAAGUUGUUGAAAGAUGGUACUUGAUGUAACCCUUGUUUGACAAUUUCAAGUCGGUUCCUAUUUGGGUGCUGCGUUACUCCAGCGAAGGCGGUGCAAUCGUCAGUUAAAAACUGAUUUCUUUGUGGUAUGUUUGUCAAGACUAGGCUCCCGUUAUUUGACCAAGUUCCUUUGGUAUUUCUUUGAGUGUGUCUGGUAAUUAUUCAUCAUUGCAGACGUGAAUAAACCAACCUAAUGAUUUAGAUGGCAAAUAUGGAAGUAUUGCUUAUGCCGUGUGGGGCUCAUGACGUACAUUAGACACUGAACCGGGUAACAAUGUAAGGGAUAUAAGAUAAGCGAAAAAACAUGUUUCUCUGUCGUCGUAAAAUAUAAAGCAGGCUUUGGCUAGAUUAUUUUUGUAGAUUUUCUUUGGACAUUAAAAAACAUAGCUGAUCUAGUUGAGUGUUUUUUUUGUCGUUUCACGCCGCACUCAGCAACAUUCCCGCUAUAUGAUGGUGGUCUGUAAAUAAUCGAGUCUGGACCAGACAAUCCAGUGAUUUACAGCAUUGGGAUACGAUGACAUGCAUCAACCGACCACCACGUUAGUCGCCUCUUAUGACAAGCAUGGCUUGCUGAAGACCUAUUCUCACUUCUAUAGUACAUUUUUGUAACCUGGUUCUUUACGGGGCUAUUGCUGCUCUAUCUUUGUAUAUUUUAUUUAUUAAAAUAACAGGCAUUUUGCAACAGAUUAAAACGCAAUUCAUCAUAAGCAGGGCACUUUAAUAAAACAUGGACUUCGUUUUCUAUCACAUUGUCAUUAUAUUACGGGGAUAGACGUUGUGCUCCUAUCGCCUUAUCGCCCGGUUGUUGUGACCACGUUGGAAUGUUGCCAACUGGAGGUGUUUACUUAGCAUUCCAAACUGCUGGGUGUGUACCAUGAAUGUUAUCUCGUGAACAAACAUGUACUGGCGCGAUUAAAUUUCGGAACGAGGCGAGAUCUGACGUAACUGUCAGUUACGUAAUAGAUAACGAGGACCGCUGCAGUGUUGGUGUAAACGUGGAGGUCCACAAGGGUGAGGUUUGUAGUGAGAGAUUCAGAUGCAUGUCCUAACCUCGAAACGUACGGUCUGGAAUUGUACUUAAAAUAUGAUGAAACUUGCUGUUCAUCAGACGGAACUCUAGACAUCUCAUAGAAAGUCGUAGAACACUAUCGUUCAGUCGUAUUUGAUCGCAGUUGUGUUUUGUACUCUGACUCGAUCAAUUCUAAUAUUGUGUCUGCUUACACAAACCCACACUUAAGUUUAAGGUGGUUCCACGGAGACAGUGUUGGAUGAGGCGUAAAAUAACGUUGUGACACCUUCAAAUCGUCAGGUCGUGCAAGUUUACAUCUAAGGCGAGGUGGAGACGGGUGGAGGUGUUUGACCCACAGUCGGGUGUUAUCGUACGACUGUCGAUGUGUGCUACCAAUCAGCGGCUUGUCUGAUCCAGACUGUCGAUGUGUGCUACCAAUCAGCGGCUUGUCUGAUCCAGACUGUCGAUGUGUGCUACCAAUCAGCGGCUUGUCUGAUCCAGACUGUCGAUGUGUGCUACCAAUCAGCGGCUUGUCUGAUCCAGACUGUCGAUGUGUGCUACCAAUCAGCGGCUUGUCUGAUCCAGACUGUUGAUGUGAAUACCUAUAUCUGCUUGCAUGUAGGCUUCGGUAAUAAAAAGUCAACUUUCUGAA
Haliotis rufescens (red abalone) is the source of this 3347-nucleotide RNA transcript. It is a transcript of the gene named E3 ubiquitin-protein ligase TRIM13-like, with no coding region annotated. NCBI's taxonomy places the organism in Eukaryota, Metazoa, Mollusca, Gastropoda, Lepetellida, Haliotidae. The transcript has 3 exons. The record is from RefSeq and is a predicted model, not a curated record.